GCGGCGAACGGGUGAGUAACACGUGAGCAAUCUGCCCUUCUCUUUGGAAUAACCAUUGGAAACGAUGGCUAAUGCCGAAUAUGACCUCCUUUCGCAUGUUUGGAGGUGGAAAGCUCCGGCGGAGAAGGAUGAGCUCGCGGCCUAUCAGCUUGUUGGUGAGGUAAUGGCUCACCAAGGCAUUGACGGGUAGCCGGCCUGAGAGGGUGACCGGCCACACUGGGACUGAGACACGGCCCAGACUCCUACGGGAGGCAGCAGUGGGGAAUAUUGGACAAUGGGCGAAAGCCUGAUCCAGCAACGCCGCGUGAGGGAUGACGGCCUUCGGGUUGUAAACCUCUUUCAGCAGGGACGAAGCGAGAGUGACGGUACCUGCAGAAGAAGGACCGGCCAACUACGUGCCAGCAGCCGCGGUAAUACGUAGGGUCCGAGCGUUGUCCGGAAUUAUUGGGCGUAAAGGGCUCGUAGGCGGUUUGUCGCGUCGGGAGUGAAAACUCAGGGCUCAACCCUGAGCGUGCUUCCGAUACGGGCAGACUAGAGGUAUGCAGGGGAGAACGGAAUUCCUGGUGUAGCGGUGGAAUGCGCAGAUAUCAGGAGGAACACCGGUGGCGAAGGCGGUUCUCUGGGCAUUACCUGACGCUGAGGAGCGAAAGCAUGGGGAGCGAACAGGAUUAGAUACCCUGGUA
This 683-nucleotide ribosomal RNA is filed under the name Aeromicrobium sp. RNAcentral's name for it is "bacterial SSU rRNA". It matches the Rfam family "Bacterial small subunit ribosomal RNA", at positions 95 to 792 of the family's 1533-position model. Lineage: Bacteria; Bacillati; Actinomycetota; Actinomycetes; Propionibacteriales; Nocardioidaceae. The record is from RNAcentral.